Molecule: ribosomal RNA, 484 nt
Filed under: uncultured bacterium
Lineage: Bacteria
Description: partial 16S ribosomal RNA
Rfam family: Bacterial small subunit ribosomal RNA
Source: RNAcentral
AUUGAACGCUGGCGGCAGGCCUAACACAUGCAAGUCGAGCGGAUGAAGGGAGCUUGCUCCUGGAUUCAGCGGCGGACGGGUGUGUAAUGCCUAGGAAUCUGCCUGGUAGUGGGGGAUAACGUCCGGAAACGGGCGCUAAUACCGCAUACGUCCUGAGGGUGAAAGUGGGGGAUCUUCGGACCUCUCGCUAUCAGAUGAUCCUAGGUCGGAUUAGCUAGUUGGUGGGGUAAAUGCCUACCAAGGCGACGAUCCGUAACUGGCCUGAGAGGAUGAUCAGUCAAACGGGAACUGAGACACGGUCCAGACUCCUACGGGAGGAAGCAGUGGGGAAUAUUGGACAAUGGGCGAAAGCAUGAUACAGACAUGCCGCGUGUGUGAAGAAGGUCUUCGGAUUGUAAAGAACUUUAAGUUGGGAGGAAGGGCAGUAAGUUAAUACCUUGCUGUUUUGACGUUACCAACAGAAUAAGCACCGGCUAACUUCGUG